AGGAUAAUAGUUAAAAAUAACAUUUGAUUUGCAUUCAAAAAGUAUUGAUUAUUCAAUUUAUCUUA
RNAcentral lists this transfer RNA (65 nucleotides) under Sialis fuliginosa. RNAcentral describes it as "tRNA-Ala". It matches the Rfam family "tRNA". Rfam says of the family: Transfer RNA (tRNA) molecules are approximately 80 nucleotides in length. The record is from RNAcentral. RNAcentral also lists the same sequence under 4 other names. Lineage: Eukaryota; Metazoa; Arthropoda; Insecta; Megaloptera; Sialidae.